AUUGAACGCUGGCGGCAGGCCUAACACAUGCAAGUCGAGCGGAUGAAGGGAGCUUGCUCCUGGAUUCAGCGGCGGACGGGUGAGUAAUGCCUAGGAAUCUGCCUGGUAGUGGGGGAUAACGUCCGGAAACGGGCGCUAAUACCGCAUACGUCCUGAGGGAGAAAGUGGGGGAUCUUCGGACCUCACGCUAUCAGAUGAGCCUAGGUCGGAUUAGCUAGUUGGUGGGGUAAAGGCCUACCAAGGCGACGAUCCGUAACUGGUCUGAGAGGAUGAUCAGUCACCCUGGAACUGAGACACGGUCCAGACUCCUACGGGAGGCCGAUGUGGGGAAUAUUGGAACAUGGGCGAAAGCCUGAUCCACCCAUGCCGGGUGUGUGAAGAAGGGUUUCGGAUUGUAAAGCACUUUAAGUUGGGAGGAAGGGCAGUAAGUUAAAACCUUGCUUUUUUGACGUUACCAAAAGAAUAAGCCCCGGCUAACUGCGG
This 483-nucleotide ribosomal RNA is filed under the name uncultured bacterium. Its description in RNAcentral is "partial 16S ribosomal RNA". It matches the Rfam family "Bacterial small subunit ribosomal RNA", at positions 30 to 506 of the family's 1533-position model. The record is from RNAcentral.